This 512-nucleotide ribosomal RNA is filed under the name uncultured bacterium. RNAcentral describes it as "partial 16S ribosomal RNA". It matches the Rfam family "Bacterial small subunit ribosomal RNA", at positions 28 to 523 of the family's 1533-position model. The record is from RNAcentral.
GAUGAACGCUGGCGGCGUGCCUAACACAUGCAAGUCGAGCGAAUGAUGAGGAGCUUGCUCCUCUGAUUUAGCGGCGGACGGGUGAGUAACACGUGGGUAAUCUGCCUGUAAGACGGGAAUAACUCCGGGAAACCGGGGCUAAUACCGGAUAACAAGAGAAGAAGCAUUUCUUCUUUUUGAAAGUCGGUUUUGGCUGACACUUACAGCUUAGCCCGCGGCGCAUUAGCUAGUUGGUGAGGUAACGGCUCACCAAGGCGACGAUGCGUAGCCGACCUGAGAGGGUGAUCGGCCACACUGGGACUGAGACACGGACCAGACUCCUACGGGAGGCAGCAGUAGGGAAUCUUCGGCAAUGGGCGAAAGCCUGACCGAGCAACGCCGCGUGAGCGAUGAAGGCCUUCGGGUCGUAAAGCUCUGUUGUUAGAGAAGAACAAGUACGAGAGUAACUGCUCGUACCUUGACGGUACCUAACCAGAAAGCCACGGCUAACUACGUGCCAGCCGCCGCAGUAA